NNNNNNNNNNNNNNNNNNNCGGCCCUUGCCCGCUUGCAAACCCGCGCGUCUCCGGCCGGGAGCGUCGAAGACCGAGCGGGUCACUGGGGAUGCGGUGGCCUUCGUGCCUUCGAAGGCGGCCCGGGUUUCCCGGGGUUUGAGCUUGGCAGGUCGGGUUUGUUUGUAGCCUUGGGCAAAAACAGCGGGGCUGCGUGCAAACGCCGCAGAUAACGCCCGCCCUCGUGGCCAGGCCGUUUCUCUAGAGCAAACAGCAGCACAGGAGAAACUAGUUAAAUCACAACUUCCCGCUGGCAGACGCCGCUGGGUCGCCGAGUGCAUCGCCCUCCCGGUGCCGCGGCCCGACCGCGCACGCGGGCAGCGGAGGCGCUCCAGAAGCUGGCUGAGCUCCCGGCCGGGCUUUCCGUGGGUUUUUUCCACGUUGCUUUUGGCAUUCCUCCUUGGCACGUGGUUACUUCUCAUCCAGGGCUGUUUGGGGGGCCGCAUCCCGCAGGCCAAGUCUUUAAGGCAACCCCGCAGCCUCCAGCGGCCGCCGGGGCCGGCCCCAAGCCCAAAGUCCUCGUGCCCGGUUGUGACCACAGGUAACCCAGCGCCGUGUUUGCUUUCAUCCAGCAAAGCUGUGCUUCUUCCUCGCAGGGGAGGAAAGGCUAUCAGGCCUGACGUGGAAAACAAAUAGGAUUAGGCAGUAACAGAGAAUAAACAUGUAGCACAAGCAAAUGGGCACUUAUCGCCCCAUGGGAGCUGGCGAGAGGCAGAAGGGCUGGAGGAGGAGCUGUGGGUCCUGCCUGGCCCUGCUCCGACCGGGCUCGCUGAGCUUGCACUUCGCUGUUUGCCAAAACAGAGGGAAAUCGGGGUUUGCUCGGCUCUGGUGACUGCUCCUGCGCCAACCGAAUCGAUUCGGGGCCGGUCCCGGAGGGCUGGGCUGAAUUUCAGCCUUCGGCAGGGUGGGGGAAGUGGUUUUGCCCGAUGCCGGCACGUGAGCUGGGAUUGUCGUGGGUUGAAGGUGAGGUUUGAGCCCAGCAGUCCCUGGCAGGACAACGUGAUUUUUCAGGCUUUGGGCGCUGACCGCUUUAUCAGGACCCUCGUGGUCCAGACGGGGACGGGACAGCUGUCUUCGAAGGCCUCAUCCGUACGGAGGGAGGGGGAAACUGCUCCCCGCCGUCGCACAGGGAAAGGAGCCCCGAGCUUUGCUGGGCAGCAAGGAGGAAAUGCGGUGGGAAUAAGACCUUGGUGGGAAGCUGUUUCCAGGUGUGAGACCGCCAGUGGUGGAGGUCAGGCAAACAUCUGGCAGGACGGAGACCCAUCCCGCCUCGGUGGGACAAGGGCCGAACCGACCGUCGUGCCGCAGGGCCUCCCCGCCUGGCCGCCUGCGGGAUGCCCCCGGGAAGGCUCUCCAGCCCCCCUGUCCCCCAAGUCCCUCUGUUUCUCCCCAGCUGGGCUGUGGAGCUGCUCGGCCGUUUUUCUUCCUCCUGCUUCUUGCCGGUGGCAGCAGGCUCCUCGGCCGGGCGCGAGGAGCUGCCCACCGCGCCGAGGGAGCUCGGGGAGACCCCGCUCUCCUGGCGGCCCNNNNNNNNNNNNNNNNNNNNNNNNNNNNNNNNNNNNNNNNNNNNNNNNNNNNNNNNNNNNNNNNNNNNNNCCUUCCCCGAGCCCCUCCAGCCGAGCCGCGUCCCAGCCGCCCCGUCCUCCCCGGAGGCGGUUGGCGCACGUUGCUCCCGUUACGUGCCGUGGGACAAGUUAUGAGGCUGUUUUCUCUACUUUGCACGCUAAAAACCGCCCUCUGACAGCCUGGAGGGUUCUCAAGCUGUGGCACAGCGUCCUUGUCUCUUGUGGCAAGAAAAUGAUAGGAAUGUGCUGCUUUUGCCCUGUUGCUUCUUCUGUGGCCGAGAUCUGUUUACCAGCUGCAGCUCGUUUCAGGUUCGGCAGCGGGCUCAGCGCCCGUCUCAAACCUCAGCCCAGCUCCAACCCCAAACCCUGGUACCGCUUUCACCCCGAUCCACCUGAGACCCCGACCCUCACCCUGCUCCUGCCUGCGCAGCCGGGCUGGCUGGAGCCACGGUGCCGGAUGC
RNAcentral lists this long non-coding RNA (2063 nucleotides) under Struthio camelus australis. RNAcentral describes it as "lncRNA (ENSSCUG00000018284.1)". The record is from RNAcentral. Lineage: Eukaryota; Metazoa; Chordata; Aves; Struthioniformes; Struthionidae.